GAGCUGUGCUUCUGAGAACGAGGGAAGGAUCAGAAGUCCUGAGUCGUUUGCAUCGCCUCCCAAAAGUUUACUUGAAGUGAAGCCCCUCCUGGUUUCAUACUCCAUGAAGCAAACCAGUCCCGUCCGUCCCCGUGUGUCCAGUUCCCAGAGGAUGCGCCUGGGGGCUCUGGGAAGUUCCCUCCUCGACGCUGUUCCGAAGGCCUCCCAACCAUUUCUUUUUUCUUUUUUUUUUUUUUUUGAGACGGAUUUUGCCCUUGUCGCUCAGGCUGGAGUGCAGUGGCGCCAUCUCGGCUCAUUGCAACUUCCGCCUUCAGGGUUCAAGCGAUUCUCCUGCCUCAGCCUCCCGAGUAGCUGGGAUUACAGGCGCCCGCCACCAUGCCCGGCUAAUUUUUGUAUUUUUAGUAGAGACGGGGUUUCACCAUGUUGGCCAGGCUGGUCUGGAACUCCUGACCUCAGGUGAUCUGCCCGCCUGGGCCUCCCAAAGUGCUGAGAUUACAGGCGUGAGCUAUCACGCCCGGCCCCAACCAUUUCUCUUUGAGGGCAGCGACUCCCUUCCUUACCUCCAUCUUAAGCUCCAGGAUUACUUUUUGCCAUCUGCUGUAUAUUUUUACUCUGAUGAACAACCAUUUCUGUAAAUUUC
Molecule: long non-coding RNA, 640 nt
Filed under: Homo sapiens (human)
Lineage: Eukaryota; Metazoa; Chordata; Mammalia; Primates; Hominidae
Description: non-protein coding lnc-SH3D21-1:1
Source: RNAcentral